CAGUAGCCGCGGGAACACGAAGGGGGCUAGCGUUGUUCGGAAUUACUGGGCGUAAAGCGCACGUAGGCGGAUAUUUAAGUCAGGGGUGAAAUCCCGCAGCUCAACUGCGGAACUGCCUUUGAUACUGGGUAUCUUGAGUAUGGAAGAGGUUAGUGGAAUUGCGAGUGUAGAGGUGAAAUUCGUAGAUAUUCGGAGGAACACCAGUGGCGAAGGCGGCUCACUGGUCCAUUACUGACGCUGAGGUGCGAAAGCGUGGGGAGCAAACAGGAUUAGAUACCCGCGUAGUCCCUGUCUCUUAUAC
Molecule: ribosomal RNA, 301 nt
Filed under: uncultured bacterium
Lineage: Bacteria
Description: partial 16S ribosomal RNA
Rfam family: Bacterial small subunit ribosomal RNA
Source: RNAcentral